Long non-coding RNA from Rhipicephalus sanguineus (brown dog tick), 344 nucleotides. RefSeq lists it as uncharacterized. Lineage: Eukaryota; Metazoa; Arthropoda; Arachnida; Ixodida; Ixodidae. The record is from RefSeq and is a predicted model, not a curated record. The transcript has 2 exons.
UACCAAAUCCACUGUAUGUCAUGGUGUCAGCACGUUUACUAAAGUAUACACGAGCGGCCUCCUGCUCUAUUUGCAUACAAGACUUGGUAAAGAUAUAUACGUGACACCUUCUGAAUACACAAUAUUUCGAAUGGUUCCGCGCUUACUGCCGUUAAUUUUAUGUAAGUAGAGCAAUCAUCACGAGACCAGUGGGACGCAUUGCUGACGUGCACUGAGAGUCAGAUUCCGGCUGGCUGACGUAGUUUGGCUGCAUCUGGGCAGAGGACCAUGGCUUCCUGGAAUAAGGAGACCACUCACCUACGGUGACGCCGCCUGGUCGUCACAAUAAAGUUUAUUUCUCAUCC